CCUGGUGUAGCGGUGAAAUGCGCAGAUAUCAGGAGGAACACCGGUGGCGAAGGCGGAUCUCUGGGCCGAUACUGACGCUGAGGAGCGAAAGCGUGGGGAGCGAACAGGAUUAGAUACCCUGGUAGUCCACGCCGUAAACGGUGGGCACUAGGUGUGGGCAACAUUCCACGUUGUCCGUGCCGCAGCUAACGCAUUAAGUGCCCCGCCUGGGGAGUACGGCCGCAAGGCUAAAACUCAAAGGAAUUGACGGGGGCCCGCACAAGCGGCGGAGCAUGUGGCUUAAUUCGACGCAACGCGAAGAACCUUACCAAGGCUUGACAUACACCGGAAACGGCCAGAGAUGGUCGCCCCCUUGUGGUCGGUGUACAGGUGGUGCAUGGCUGUCGUCAGCUCGUGUCGUGAGACGUUGGGUUAAGUCCCGCAACGAGCGCAACCCUUGUCCCGUGUUGCCAGCAGGCCCUUGUGGUGCUGGGGACUCACGGGAGACCGCCGGGGUCAACUCGGAGGAAGGUGGGGACGACGUCAAGUCGUCAUGCCCCUUAUGUC
RNAcentral lists this ribosomal RNA (546 nucleotides) under uncultured streptomycete. RNAcentral describes it as "bacterial SSU rRNA". It matches the Rfam family "Bacterial small subunit ribosomal RNA", at positions 669 to 1208 of the family's 1533-position model. The record is from RNAcentral. Lineage: Bacteria; Bacillati; Actinomycetota; Actinomycetes; Kitasatosporales.